AACGAACGCUGGCGGCAUGCCUAACACAUGCAAGUCGAACGAGUAUGGUCUAGCUUGCUAGAACCCAGCUAGUGGCAAACGGGUGAGUAACGCGUGGGAACCUUCCUAAUAGUAUGGAAUAACCACUGGAAACGGUGAUUAAUACCAUAUACGCCCUGAGGGGGAAAGAUUUAUCGCUAUUAGACGGGCCCGCGUUGGAUUAGCUAGUUGGUAGGGUAACGGCCUACCAAGGCUAUAAUGUAAAGCUGAUUUUAGGGGAUGAUGAGCCACACUGGAACAGAGACGCUGUCGAGACUCCUACGGGAGGCAGCAGUGGGGAAUAUUGGACAAUAGGCGAAAGCCUGAUCCAGCAAUGCCGCGUGAGUGAAGAAGGCUUUAGGGUUGUAAAGCUCGUUCAGUAGGGAAGAUAAUGACGGUACCUACAGAAGAAGCACCGGCUAACUCCGUGCCAGCAGCCGCGGUAA
This 464-nucleotide ribosomal RNA is filed under the name uncultured bacterium. RNAcentral's name for it is "partial 16S ribosomal RNA". It matches the Rfam family "Bacterial small subunit ribosomal RNA", at positions 29 to 523 of the family's 1533-position model. The record is from RNAcentral.